This is a long non-coding RNA of Conger conger (European conger), 1297 nucleotides long. RefSeq lists it as uncharacterized. Lineage: Eukaryota; Metazoa; Chordata; Actinopteri; Anguilliformes; Congridae. The transcript has 3 exons. The record is from RefSeq and is a predicted model, not a curated record.
AAGAACACGUGUCGUCAUCAAGAGAGAAGGCAGCAGUAGAUUCACCUGUCGAGUUCUGCAGCAGAAGCUCCAUGAGGAAAAGGUGACAGAGUUUUACCUCCAUGAUGAGUGUCAAUGCCGUCCAUGGAGAGUUGCCUUUGCUGUCACUAUGACUGCACUUAUUCUCUUGGGCAUCGUCCAGUGUGUGUUCAUCCAUCGUUUGAAGAAAAGGGAAAUGAAAAGUUGAUCAUAAACAUAAAUAAUAUGAAGCCAUCAGCAUCCCUGAUGGAGUCUGAACACUGAAGUGUUGAAAAUGAACCAUAAACCUGACUCCUGACCCUAAACCUAACCCUAACCUGAUCCUGACUGUUACCCAGUGGUCUUUAAACAGUUUCAAAUGAAAGGUCAAUGGUGGUUGAAGCCCCGGUGUAGCCACGAUAAGAUUCAUGCAGAUGUUGGGCCCUUGAGCAAUUUCUUAUAGGCCAUGUAAAUUAAGUUGUUUAUUCCUGUUUUCACAAUUGUGUAUUGUGUUCUCUUAGCAUUGUGUUUGCUAAGACAGAUCUAUUGCUACUUUAAUUCAUUUUUCUCAUUGGAUAAAUCUGAGCGUCCUGUUCAUUCCUUGCACCUGGAACUGGACCUCCCUCUAGUGUUCAGUGCACUUGUCCCAGUUUAUGGUUAUGCAGUUUGAAUGCUGGUUAUGCAAUGUGAAUGCUGAUUAUCCAGUUUGAAUGCUGGUUAUGCAACUUGAAUGCUGAUUAUCCAGUUUGAAUGCUGGUUAUGCAAUGUGAAUGCUGGUUAUGUAGUUUGAAUGCUGGUUAUGCAACUUGAAUGCUGGUUAUGUAGUUUGAAUGCUGGUUAAACAGUUUGAAUACUGGUUAUCCAGUUUGAAUGCUGGUUAUGCAGUGUGAAUGCUGGUUAUGUAUUUUUUGUGCCAAGCUGCCAAACAGUGUCUGUCAUUAUAAUUGUUAUUUUUCUGCUAUGACAGUUAUUUGUGUUUACAUUUUGAGUUAUUUUUGAGCCUGUGCUUGUAGCAUUGUGUCUCCAGUAUGUCUGAUGUUUUAUAAUACAGGCCCUGUGUCUCCAGUAUGUCUGAUGUUUUAUAAUACAGGCCCUGUGUCUCCAGUAUGUCUGAUGUUUUAUAAUACAGGCCCUGUGUCUCCAGUAUGUCUGAUGUUUUAUAAUCAGGCCCUGUGUCUCCAGUAUGUCUGAUGUUUUAUAAUACAGGCCCUGUGUCUCCAGUAUGUCUGAUGUUUUAUAAUACAGGCCCUGUGUCUCCAGUAUGUCUGAUGUUUUAUAAUACAGGCCCUGUGUCUCCAGU